RNAcentral lists this long non-coding RNA (6866 nucleotides) under Salmo salar (Atlantic salmon). RNAcentral describes it as "lncRNA (ENSSSAG00000105347.1)". The record is from RNAcentral. Lineage: Eukaryota; Metazoa; Chordata; Actinopteri; Salmoniformes; Salmonidae.
GCAGCUGGCCAGCUCAGAGCCCCUGCUGCAGACAACCAGAGGCAGCAGGGAGGAGGAGGAGAGGGCUGACUAUAUGUACCAGCAGGCCACCGUACAGACGGAGGCUCUACACCACCAGGAGUCAGCCUCCACCCCUUCCCUCCACUCCUCCCAUUCCAACUCCUGCAACUCCAGCAAGACGGACUUCAACACGCGGUGGGGCAGUGGUGGUGGUGGUGAGCCAGGCGUAGGGGGCUCCUGCCCAGACCCUCAGCCCGCUCACCUCUUUAAGCUCAACAACUGUCUGGUGUCAGCCAGCUCCAUGUCCACUCUGGGAGGGGACGACUGGUCGGAGGUCACAGCCAUGCUGCCCAGGCGCUCCUACAGUCUUAGCUACAGGACUAACCCAGGCCCCCACGGGCCCCAGACUGUAAUACGUCUACAGGAAGGGGCCAUGCGACCCGGGGGACCUGGGGCGGACCCACAGAUAGUGCAGUCCAAGCCCACGCGGAGGGAGCGCAGCUUGGACGUGUGUGUGAACAUGGUUGGAUGUGUGGAGACCCCGGAGCUCACUCCUGUACAGGAGCAGAAGCACCGCAGCUGGCCCCGGUUAGACCUGGGCUGUGCCCGCAGGUACCUGAAGCUGGACAAUAAGGAGGACUCGGUGGACAGACUGCUAGACCAGUUGGAGCAGCAGUGUUCUCAGUGGGAUAAGAGUUUCGGCUCAGGGCCUUUCCAGUGAGACCCAGUAAGGGCCCCGUAUCUCAAUAAGGCCUCAUAUCAGGGUCCUCUGUUUUUUAAAAGCAGCUUAUAAAGAAAGAUCCUCAUGGAUGCUGAUAUAUCCACUACCAGGAGUAGGAGCUUUUCCCGUUGGAUUAUAAUUGUGCACUGUUUUCACUGACUCCUGAAACUGAGAAAGGAGGCUAUAACAGAAACCCUUCUAAGUACGACACUGAAUUCCUCUCUACAGUGUCGAGCAGCUUCCAAUCUGAAGAUACAAACCUUUAGAAACCUUGUUUCUCGGACUUCCCAUAGAUAUAUAAAUAUGGAUAUAUAUGUGGAUAUAUAAACACAAGUGUUGGAGGACUGCAGACGAAUUGGAUCAGUUUGGCAGACAUUCUGUUUUAAGAGGGGAACAAUACUCCAUACUGUCAAAGAUGAGUUGGAGACAUUCCCCAGUCUGUUUACUGGGUGGCAGUUAGGCUUGGCACUUGGCAACACUGAAGGAAUCAAUUUGUCUUUCAUUGCCAAAGCAUUGCUUGUUUCCAGGACAUAGCAAGCACAUCCGAAUGUGGGAGGUGGAAACCCAUUCUAAUGAGGGACUGUCUUCACUGUGUAAUCUAUUUAAAAACCAAACUACUGGAAUCUGGCGGGGAGCCCCAGAUGUGCUUCUGAUAACAGCUAGUAAAAUAAAACACGUGUCACAGAGACCAAAACAAGUGCAUGAUGAUAGAGAUGUCAUGUGUGAUCUAUACCUACAUAGUUCUGCAGAAUAAUGCUUUAAUUGGCUGUAGAUCAGAUAAACACAUAGUUAAUGAUAGGUUGGUAACACUUUAUUUGAAGGUUACCUACAUAAAGACUUCAUUACACAUUCAUAAACAGUACAUAAGCAUUGAUUAAGUAUUAUGUAGUGCUUGUUAAUGGGUUAUGUAGGGCUUAUGAAUGGGUUAUGUAGGGCUUAUGAAUGGGUAAUAAAUCUCUUCAAGUACUAUGUGUCCGUUUGCUGUCCUUCUCCUGGUUAUUACCAAGGCUGUGUCCCAAAUUACACCCUAUUCCCUAUAUAGUGCACUGCUUUUGACCUGCACUCAUAGGGCUCUGGUCAAAACUAGUGGUCUGUAUAGGGCAGGGCUCUCCAACCCUGUCCCUGGAGAGUUACCGUCCAGUAGGUUUUAACUCCAACCCUGUCCCUGGAGAGUUACCGUCCAGUAGGUUUUAACUCCAACCCUGUUCCUGGAGAGUUACCGUCCAGUAGGCUUUAAUUCCAACCCUGUUCCUGGAGUGUUACCGUCCAGUAGGUUUUAAUUCCAACCCUGUUCCUGGAGUGUUACCGUCCAGUAGGCUUUAAUUCCAACCCUGUUCCUGGAGAGUUACCGUCCAGUAGGUUUUAAUUCCAACCCUGUUCCUGGAGAGUUACCGUCCAGUAGGUUUUAACUCCAACCCUGUUCCUGGAGUGUUACCGUCCAGUAGGUUUUAACUCCAACCCUGUUCCUGGAGAGCUACCUUCCAGUAGGAUUUCACUACAAGAGGGUAUGUCUCCAGGAGCAAGGUUGGAGAGUCCUGGUAUAGGGAAUAGGGUGCUAUUUGAGACGCAACCCCAGGUGAUCCACCAGUGGGAAUCAGCGGUGAGGAGAAACCCCUCCCUCCUGUCUACCGUCCUGUUGAUUCUCUCACUGCCUCCUCAGAGUGCAUCUUGUGUUCGUCCCAAAUGACACCCUAUUCCCUAUGUAGUGUUCUGUAUAAGAACUAGGGUGUCAUUUGGGACGCGGUCCUAGUGUUUACGAGGAGGGGUCACCCCUUUCUUCGUCCAAUAGAGGUGAGGGAAUGGAGGACAGCACUGUCUCAGUCUGUUUGAUUUAGUGGAAUGAAAUUAUCAAUGUUUUAGCAUGCAGUUGGGGUGUGUGGGGCUACGUGAUUAAGACAUGUCUGGUUCCCUUAGGACGACACACACACACACACACACACACACACACACACACACACACACACAGGCUGAUGUGGAGAGAAGGCUCCAUUGUAUUUUCAAUGCCACAGCCUCUCUCUCUCUCUCUCUCUCUCUCUCUCUCUCUCUCUCUCUCUCUCUCUCUCAUCAGUGUUGCCUGUUUUGUAUGCUGUGUCAGUGUGACAAUUUGUGUUCUAAAUGUAUUACCAAGCAAUAUCAGUAGGUCUGACAGAACAAUUAUUGUCUGUGUCUGACCCCGUAGACCCACAUACCAUGCCUGUGUUACAAAUAUAAGGCAAAGCAACAAAAAACCUUCCUUGUGUUGUCAGUGGUUUCAUUGGUUCACCUUGGCAAGGUUACAACCUUCCGUUGGGGUAUUUAUACGGUAUCAUUAUUUGUGUGUGCCAAACCGAUGACCCUAUUCCUCACUAGACAGGGGCUUCGCGUCUCAUUGUUCCUCCCAUUGAGGACAUUCUGCUGGGAUGUGAACCAAUGAGUCUCCUAGUUGACACUAGAGCCAAUCAGCAAGGGUUUACCACGACACAAGGCAUUCAAAUGGAACAAAAUGGAAGUCUGAACAGAAUUUUGGAAUCCCUCGUAUCACAAACUCUUUCCUGUCUACUUUCUCCACUACUGUUUUUCUCAUCUCUGCUAAAGACUUUCGACAGAGGACAUCCUAUGACCUUGAAUUAGAUAACGCUCACCUACAGUAGAUCUACAAAACCACAAGUUCCUCUGUGUGUCUGUGUGGAUCAGAUCUGUCCGCUCAAGAUGCAUAGAAAUUGUCUUCCGUUGGCACAAGGUGCUGCCCAAGUACUACCUCUGAUGCGUUAGCAUCUGGCUAGCAGAGAUUAUCCAGGCUGUGUCCCAAAUGGCUCCCUAAUCCCUAUAUCAAAAGUAGCGCACUAUGUAGGGAUUAUGGUGCCAUUCGGAUGUAACCCAGUUCUCUCUGGCUGUCUGCAUGAUGUCAGGGGUUAAAGGUCAACAGCAAACCGAGGCAUCGGUCUAUCACCUUUUCAGCUGAUUAGUCACAGACGAUGCUCUCCAAAGUCCUCAGUCUUUCUCUCUUUAGUGUUAUCUAUUUAUCAUGCUAGAGGAAACUACAGCAAUUUAUGUAACCCUGUGGGUGAUCAGGGUUUUGUGAUUUAGAAAGAACACUGAAAUGUGUGGAGGAGUACUUAGAAACACUACUGAAAUGUUGUUGAGUACUUUCUAAGGUCUGGUAGAAUAAUGUGGUCAUUACUCAAGUACUACAGUUAGAACUCAGUGUUAUACAACGGGUGGGUCUAAUCCUGAAUGCUGAUUGGUUAAAACCGCAUUCCAGCCGGCGUCUAUUGCACAAGGUACCACCGGCUAAAUCUAUAUUGUUAAAAUGCCUAUUUACUCUGUUCCAUCUGACUGCCCAUCCACUAUCUCAUCAGUCCAGCCAGGCAAUUUAUAAACUUAAUCUCCACUAUAAAAAGCAUCUAGACAUUAUCUCACAUUUCUUUUAGCUUAACAUUUAGGUUUUCAACAGCGGAGAUUCUAUAAACCUUGCUGUCUGUCUCUCCGACAUUUGCAACAUCGUUUCUAUAUUGAAAUUGGAUCUCCAGCUGUAGCAUAGUAAUGAACGUGUCGGGAGUCGAGAUGAGAUGGACGGACGGACGGACGGACGGACGGACGGACGGACGGACGGACGGACGGACGGACGGACGGACGGACGGACGGACGGACGGACGGACGGACAGACAGACAGACAGACAGACAGACAGACAGACAGACAGACAGACAGACAGACAGACAGAUAGGUAGCUUUUCUCAGCCAGUUGAAAUCAUGAAUCAGCAUCAUUUGUAUGGAUAUACACAAAGAAAUAUGAAUAGAAAACAGGUAAAACAAAAUGAAGUGCAGCUAGUUUGCAGUCUUUCCAGCUUCAGUUUGAAGUGAUUGUGUUAGUUGUGUUGUUGGCUAGCUGCUCUGAACAACAGUGUCCUGACGAGAGAGCAUAUGUUCUGUGCCAGGCGAAAUCGCGCCUCAUUAGCUCAUUGUUAUGGAUGUAUCCAAAUAAAUAUCACUAGAAAACAGCUUAAACAAAUGCAAAUGCAGCUACUUUGCUGUUAUUCUGGCUGCACUGUUUCUAAAUUAGCCGUAGUUGGCUAGCUAGCAAGCAAGGGAUAAGAACGUUGCCAGGCAGUAUGGUUGCGUCCAUAGAUACAGAACAAAAAGACAAUGACUGGGUCACGUCUCUGGCAACCAAAUCGAUAGAACGAACAACUAGCCGGCUUGGGCAGAAACUGUCACGUCCUGACCAGUAAAGGGGUUAUUCGUUAUUGUAAUUUGGUCAGGACGUGGCAGGGGGGUGUUUGUUUUAUGUGGUUCGGGGUUUGUUGGGAUAUGUGUUUAUGUAGAGGGGUGUUUGUUUAGAGUAUUCUGGGGUUUUUGGUUAUGUUCUAUGUUUUGUAUUUCUAUGAUCUGUCUAUGUUGUGUAUUUCUUUGUGUUGGCCUGGUAUGGCUCUCAAUCAGGACCAGCUGUACAUCGUUGUUGCUGAUUGGGAGUCAUACUUAGAUAGCCCUGUUUUCACAUGUCCCUUGUGGAAAGUUGUUUUUGCACUGCUGUGUGUGUAGCAUGCAAUACUGUGCGUUCGAUCGUUUUCUUGUUUUUGUUUUGUUACGUGUUCAAAUAAAGUUAAGAUGAGCACUCAACCCGCUGCGCCUUGGUCCACUGUAUACGACGGCUGUUACAGAACUUCCCACCAACAAUGGACCAAGCAGCGGGGUAAGGAGCUGGAGAAAGGCUAUCGGGAGUCGUGGACCUGGGAGGAGAUUUUAGCUGGGGCUGGACCAUAGAGGAAUGCUGGAGUGGACCGGGACUGUUAUAUUGGUACACGGUUGGCAUUUAAGCCUGAGAGGCAGCCCCAAUACAUUUUUUUGGGCGGGGCACACGGGUAGUUUGGCUGGGCCAGGGUUAAGCCCCAAGCCAACUCCCCGUGCUUACCGGAGGCAGCAUGUUACUGGUCAGGCCCCGUGCUAUGGCGUGAUGCGCAUGGCGUCGAGGCCGAGUAUUCACAGGCCGGUGUGCGCGGUGCCAGCGCUCCGCAUUUGCCAGGGGGAAGCGGGAAUCCAGCCAGUAAGGGUGGUGCCAGUACUGCACUCGAAACCGCCAGUACGCCUUCACGGCCCAGUGUAUCCUGUUCCCGGUCCUCGCACCAGCCCUGAGGUGCGUGUAUCCAGUCUGGCGUAUCCAAAGCCAGCCCCACGCACCAGGCCUCCAGUGCGUAAGCCCAGUCCAACUCGUCCUGUUCCUGCUCCUUGCACUAGCCUUGGGAUGCGUGUAUCCAGUCUGGUACCUCCACUACCAGCCCCACGCACCAGGCCUCCAGUGCGUCAGCCCAGUCCAACUCGUCCUGUUCCUACUCCUCGCACUAGCCUUGGGAUGCGUGUAUCCAGUCUGGUACCUCCACUACCAGCCCCACGCAUCAGGCUUUCAGUGCGCAGUCCCCGUCCAGAGCUUCCAACGACAGUACCCCGUUCAGAGCUUCCGGCAAUAGUGCCUCGUCCAGAGCUUCCGGAAAUAGUGCCUCGUCCAGAGCUUCCGGCAACAGUGCCCCGUCCAGAGCUUCCGGCGACAGUGCCCCGUCCAGAGUGUCCGGCGACAGUGCCCCAUCUAGAGAUGGCCCACAGUCCGGAACCGAGAGAGACGGCCCACAGUCUGGAACUGAGUGAGACGGCCCACAGUCCGGAACCAAGUGAGACGGCCCACAGUCCGGAACCGAGUGAGACGGCCUACAGUCUGGAACCGAGUGAGACGGCCUACAGUCCGGAACCGGCGCAGCCAGAGUCACCCUACAGUCCGGAGCUCCCAGAGUCGCCCUACAGUCCGGAGCUCCCAGAGUUGCCCUUCUGCACGAGGUCUACAGUGACGUGCUUCAGCCCGAGGUCUACAGCGAUGCGCUUCAGCCUGAGGUAUUCAGCGGGGGUGGACAGGUUAGGUGAUGGACUAAGGCCAGAGCCUGAGCCACCUCCACAGUAGGAGGAUUGGGGAGGGGGGGUGUAGCACGGGAACCGUCGGUGACGGCAGCCACCCUCCCUUCCCUCCCUUUAGUUUGGGGGGUUGAUUUUUGUGUUUAUUUUUUGUGUGAGGUGCAUCCGGGGUCUGCACCUUUGGGUGGGGGUACUGUAACGUCCUGACCAGUAAAGGGGUUAUUUGUUAUUGUACUUUGGUCAGGAUGUGGCAGGGCGGUGUUUGUUUUA